CGUUGUAAUCUAGAGAAGUGUUAUCCGCGCUGGACCGUGCCAAGUCUCCUGGAAUGGAGCGUCAUAGAGGGUGAGAAUCCCGUCUUUGACACGGACUGCCAGGGCUUUGUGAUGCGCUMUCAAAGAGUCGAGUUGUUUGGGAAYGCAGCUCAAAAUGGGUGGUAAAUUCCAUCUAAAGCUAAAUAUUGGCGAGAGACCGAUAGCGAACAAGUMCCGUGAGGGAAAGAUGAAAAGAACUUUGGAAAGAGAGUUAAACAGUACGUGAAAUUGCUGAAAGGGAAACGCUUGAAGUCAGUCGCGUUGUCCGGGGAUCAACCUUGCUUUUGCUGGGCGUAUUCUCCGGUUGACGGGCCAGCAUCAAUUUUGGCCACUGGAAAAAGGCCAGGGGAAUGUGGCAUCUUCGGAUGUGUUAUAGCCCUUGGUUGCAUACAGUGGCUGGGAUUGAGGAACUCAGCACGCCGCAAGGCCGG
RNAcentral lists this ribosomal RNA (470 nucleotides) under Galerina calyptrata. RNAcentral describes it as "LSU rRNA". It matches the Rfam family "Eukaryotic large subunit ribosomal RNA", at positions 141 to 614 of the family's 3401-position model. Lineage: Eukaryota; Fungi; Basidiomycota; Agaricomycetes; Agaricales; Galerinaceae. The record is from RNAcentral.